Molecule: long non-coding RNA, 1411 nt
Filed under: Phasianus colchicus (ring-necked pheasant)
Lineage: Eukaryota; Metazoa; Chordata; Aves; Galliformes; Phasianidae
Description: lncRNA (ENSPCLG00000017213.1)
Source: RNAcentral
AUAGGGAUCUAUGGGGUUUCUAUGGGGUUCUAUGGGGCUCUAUGGGGCUCUAUGGGUCUCUAUGGGGUCUCUAUGGGUCUCUAUGGGAUCUCUAUGGGGCUUUGUGGGGCUCUGUGGGUCUUUAUGGGGUCUCUAUGGGGCUCUAUGGGGCACUGCUGGGCACUAUGGGGUCUCUAUGGGGCUCUGUGCAGCUCUAUGGGGUUUCUAUGGGGCAGAAUGGGUCUCUACAGGAUCUCUAUGGGGCUCUAUGGGGUCUCUAUGGGGUUCUGUGGGGCUCUGUGGGGUCCCACCCCACACUUAUGGGGGUCCCAACCCAAACUUAUGGGUCCCACCCCACACUUAUGGGUCCCCACCCCACACUUGGGGGUCCCACCCCAAACUUAUGGGUCCCACUGCACACUUAUGGGUCCCACCCCACACUUGGGGGUCCCAAGCCAAAACUUAUGGGUCCUCACCCCAAACUUAUGGGUCCCACUGCACACUUAUGGGUCCCACCCCACACUUGUGGAUCCCACCCCACACUUAUGGGGGUCCCAAGCCAAAACUUAUGGGUCCCACCCCACACUUAUGGGUCCCACCCCACACUUGGGGUCCCACCCCACACUUAUGGGGGUCCCACGCCAAACUUAUGGGUCCCACCCCACACUUGUGGAUCCCACCCCACACUUGUGGGUCCCACCCCAAACUUAUGGGUCCCACUGCACACUUAUGGGUCCCACCCCAAACUUGUGGGUCCCACCCCACACUUAUGGGUCCCACCCCACACUUGGGGGUCCCACCCCACACUUAUGGGGUCCCAGCCCACACUUAUGGGUCCCCACCCCACAAGCUCCUGUCGGGACACGUCGCUCCCCUGUCGCGUUGGGGCGUCAACCCCAUAAGUUCCCCCCCACACACACCCCACACCCCACACCCCACACCCCACACCCUACCCUACAGCUAUGGGGCGGCGCUUAUGGGGCCGAGGGGAGGCGUCGCGACCCCCCGCCCGCCCCACAUUUCACCCCAUUGAAGCUGUCCCUAUGCUGACCCCAUAAGCGGGGGAGGUGGGGGAACCCGUCGGGUGACUCCCGGCUCCGCCCCACACAUCCCCACCCCAGAAAUGUGGGGUGAAAUCGGUGGGGCUGAGAGAGGCCGGGAUCCCAUGGGCGCCCCACAGAUCGCCUUCCUCUUCCUCCUCUGCCUCUUCUUCAUCCUCGUCCCGAAAUCCGCCCCGCUGCCCCACUGCGAUGGGGACGGCUGGGAGAACGCAGCGCACGCAGGUGGGUGUGGGGCUGCCCCAUAAGUGUGGGGCCGCCCCANNNNNNNNNNNNNNNGGGGGGAAGGUGGGAAGAUGUGGGGCAGACCUACGUCUAUGGGGCGGCGUUGGGGACGUGGGGGCGCUAUGGGGCAGGGUGAGAUCUAUGGGGUU